This is an RNA transcript of Triticum aestivum (bread wheat), 2081 nucleotides long. RefSeq lists it as uncharacterized. The transcript is spliced from 4 exons. NCBI's taxonomy places the organism in Eukaryota, Viridiplantae, Streptophyta, Magnoliopsida, Poales, Poaceae. The record is from RefSeq and is a predicted model, not a curated record.
AGCUUAGGGGUAAAAACGUAUUCAUUUAGGCAGUUAUGUCUGACCUUUUAUCCAUAUUAAAUCUCAGUGCGUUACGGCUGAUGCACAUCAUCUAGACUCAGUCAGUCACUGUUGGUUAUUCCUGGACUCUUUACGAAGUGGGAGAGACGCCGGCGAUCAGCCUGUUCUACACGCACUGGACUCGGCGCCGACCGUGGUUGGCCGUCGCCCGUCGGCGUGCUUGCUUGAGCGACGGCUACCGGGCUGGGCAGAAGAUUGGCGUCAGCCUUACCGCCGUCACCAGAAUAGGGAUGUGCUAAACGGUGAUGGACACAACGACAUGGGGUCGCAUGGCUGGGCCUCUAUCGCGUGGCAUCUGCGGGAGUUGAAUUGCUUCCACGUAUAGACACACUCACCUCACUCUAACUGAAGUUAAUUUAAGUGGAUCGCGAAGACAAUUUCUGAACACAUUGACUAGAGAACGGAUGAGUAGCGCAAACGAGUUCACUGUUUUCCUCUGUUCUUCGCUGCCGGCAUGCUCAGGAAGAUUGGGAAUUUCUGUUUUAAUUCCCAUGUACAUGUUAAUAUACUCUCAUCAAUUUUGUCUACGGACUGCAAACCAUUAUCUAGUAGUGGCAGGCUGCUGGUAUAUCGCAUGAUUGAUAUCCAGCAAUGGCAGGAACGAAGGGUAUAUCGCUUGAUUGUGAUCCAACUAUGGCGUGCACGAAGGGGAUUAGGCGGCUGCGGGGUGGCCACGAUAGGUUUGGGAUUAGGGAGAUGCAGACCAGAUACAAGCACACGUGCAAGUGGCACCGACCCCUGUGGCCAUGGCGGCGCCAAAGAACCAAGAGGUGAUCACGAGCGAUACCCUAGAAGUUUCGCUUCCGGGAGCCGAGAUUUAUGAUCAGAUUGGGUUUUUUUUUGAGAUAGAUCGGGGAUUAGAUUAGGUCAAAUGAAAAUGACUGCCCUUUUAAAUAAAGGGCUAGAUUCGAGUGGUACUCCUGCCCCGGCCACCAGGGUACCGUAAAAGUUCUGUUGUAAAAAGGUUUAUUGUAUUUGUAAACAUACGACGAUGUAACAAUCAAUUCAAUAUAUGCUUCUUUCUGGAGUAUUUCUUCUGGAUUUUUCUACAAAUUGAACGUCAGAUUUGGCAAAUCGACUGUUCUUCAUGACAAUUAUAGUUGUCGCGACUCGCGAGGAUUGUCGUUUCUUCUUCCUUUGGUCUUUUUUUUUGUGAUUCUUUAGGCAUUUUGUCUUAAAGCGUGUGUUUCUCUGUACAUCUUAGCCAAGCAUAUUUCAGGUUAGUCGUGUAGAUAUGUUCAGAUCAAGCUACCGUCAUUGUAGAUGCUCUUGCUCAGCUCUCCCUCUCAGCCCGUUGCCUUCCAAUGUCGUGCGGCGCCCACACAGCACCCCACUCCUGGCUGUUCAUCUCUUCGCCGGCGGUGCAGCUCCCGCCGCCGUCGGGGCACCCGCGCUGCCGCGUCUCCGUCAGGGCCACAUGCGCUCCGACCUCCUCCCGCGUCCCAGCCGGUGGCGGCAACACGCGCCACCAGACCCGGCCGCGCCUCGUAGCGGCGCACUCGGUACCUCCGCCGCCGCCCCCUACCGCCAGAACCGUCCGGAGGGACGCCGCGACGGGGCUCGCUUUCCUCCUCUUCGUGCUCGGCCUGGUGAUCAGCUCAGGCUCUGGAGCAGAUGGAAAUCGCAGCUCGUAAAUUGUUGAAAUUAGCAGGACAAGAGGUACCCGGAACUAUAUCGUCACUAAAGCUGUCAUUCAUGGAGAUCAACGAUCUAACCAGCCAACUAAAGAAAAUUAGGCACAUUUUCACAACAAAUAGAUCUGGGAAGGAUAGAUGACUAACGUGGCAGCAUGAUCACGGACUGAAUUCUUUAAUCUGUAGUGAUGUCUUAGUUCUUACUACUUUGUUAGAUUAUUACUUGUACCUCAAUUUCUUGAUCAUGUGUGUUGUCACAGUAUUGCUGGACACUGCAGAAACAUGCGCCUGAUAAUUGCUGUGUUGCCUAAGUUGCUGUAGCCUGGCAGAUAUAAUAUGGUGCGCAGAUAUUACCAAACAUCUCCCAGAAGAGAAUGGUUAUAUUGA